UUAGUUGCUUAAGUCUAUUAAUAAAUCUAUUCCAAGACAGUAUCAAGUACCUUGACAGAGCAAUUAUAGGACUGGUUUGUCCUACAGCGCCAGUGUCAACUUGGGGGAAAUUUAUAAUGACAACAACAGUAAGGAUGGAAUAAGCAUAAACUUUUGGUCCUCUAUGUUGAUAAUAAUUGUGACUGGCGGAGGUUUUUGCUAUCUUGAGGGAUCACAGUUCUUUCUUAGUUUUUGGUUGAUAAUCUAUGUUGUUAACUUGAUUUCUGGAUCAGUAAAUUUUUUUUUUCAGCUAGACUAGAAGUUCCUUCUAAUUCCUUUUAGAUAUUUGGAGCUAUUCCUAUUUGGAGUUCCAUUUAUCUUUCUUGAGCUGGGGGUCUACGGAAUCAGUCACUCUACCUUCUUAAAGGUAGGGGUAAGGUCUGUAUACACUACCCUUCUCAGACCCCACUUGUGGAUUAUACUUGAUAUGUUGUUGUUGUUUUUGUUGUUAUCAACAUCUUGUGUUAUUUUUCAUUUGAUCUUCUCAAAUAGAAACGAUUUCAAUGGGAUACUGCAAUUGAAGGUGCUAUAAAGGAUAAGUUUAUGAGCAAAUGUGCAGAACGAUACAAGGGUAUGUUAUUUGAAGCAAGACUUGAUGAGAAGAAGCGCAAACAUAUUCCAGUAUCUAUUUGGGAGAGCUGGAAGCCUCACUGGGAGACUGAGGCUUUUAAAGCCAAGUCCGUGUAGUGCUCAAAGAAUCGGCUAAAUGAGAAAGGUGGUGAAGGAUCUGGUCCCUCAUGCCAUACAGGAGGCUCCAAAACUCACCGAGAACAUGCAAAUAUACUGGCUAAAGAACUAGUAAUACUAGCACAUCCACAUGAGCUUCUGAGGACGACACACGUCAAGGCGAACAAGGAGUUUGUGGACCAGAAAUCUAGGAGCACAUAUGAUUCCAUAAUAUCUAAAAUUGUGUCUGCGUCUCAACCUGAAGAUAGGUCCAGUGAGCCUCUUGAAGUUGAUUUCUUACAAAUUUAUUUGGACGAAGUCGGUGUUAAGAAGGCACACAUUUAUGGUCUUGGUUCUCAAGCUCUUUUCUAUGGGCAUGUUGGUGCAUCCUCCAGUUCGAAAUCUCCGCUUCAAGAUCUAGACUUUAAUGCUCGGGUGAAUGAAUGUGUCGGACAUCGUUUGCAAGAAAUUAAAGAAGAGAUGAAGCAUGAGAUGAGAUCAGAGAUCAAAGAUCAGAGAAGAGAUUAGCCAAGAAAAGAGAGAAGAAAUACGUAAAAAAAUGAGACAUGAAAUGCAACAAGAGGUGCGUGAGCAAGUUGAUCAACUACUCUAAAACUGUCUGUCGAUCCUCAUAGGUGGCUUACCUACACCGCCUUCUCUUAGGCAUGGCUCGUUGUCAAAUAAUGACACGAGUAAUAUUUAGAUUUAUUUUAGCUUCUUUUAUGUUAGACACGUUUCGGAUUCUACUUUCAACUUCAUGACAGAUAUUAUUAUUAUUAUUUAUAAAGUGCUAUUAUGUUUUUUGUUCUA
Long non-coding RNA from Nicotiana tabacum (common tobacco), 1515 nucleotides. RefSeq lists it as uncharacterized. Lineage: Eukaryota; Viridiplantae; Streptophyta; Magnoliopsida; Solanales; Solanaceae. The record is from RefSeq and is a predicted model, not a curated record.